AUGGUGGCUUCUGCCCCCUGACCCGGAAGCAGUUCUCGGUGUUUCCGGUCCAAGGAGGUUUCCUCCGCCCUCCCCGGCCCCCUUGGAUUCAACAUUCCGUGGUUUCCCAGGGCUUUGAUCAUCUGAUCUCAUGAAGCACUCUUUGAGCACUAGAUGCAGACAUUCUAUCUGCGAGCAAAGAAUCGGUCACCAAGAGCGUUGUGAGUCACGAUGUUCUUGUUAUGUGACCUUGAGCAACUUCACAUCUCCAGACUUUUGUUUCAAUUUCUAAAAUUGUGGGAAGAUGACCUAUAUCACAGCUAACAUUUGUUGAAUGUUAUGUUCUGGGCAGUAGGUCAAAGGUUUUCUAUGUAUAACGGCCCUUAAUCUUCACGUGACGGUAUUCCUAUUUUAUAGAAGCUGUGGUGCAGAGAGACUUAACUUGCUUGUUGUGGCACAGCUAGUUAAGAAGAGCUAGAAGUCAAACCCAGCAACCCGGUUUCAGAGCCACAAAAAAGAGCAGGAUUUGAUGGAGAUGUCAUGUGGGAGGAGCCCAGGAUGCAUGUAAAGCAGAAGCAGAAGAUACAGCCUCAUAUAUUGACAGGGUUUGAUCCUUCCUGUGGGCAAUGGAAAGUUGGAAACGUUUAAGCAGAAGAAUAUGACUAGUGACUAUAUGUCCCAUUCUUAUAGGGAAGUCUCAGAUUAUGCCUUCUUUCAUAUGCAUAAUUACUAGAACCUUCUUUUUCUUAAAUAAAAAUAUGGUCACCUUAGAAAAAAAUUAAUAUGGCCACUUAGAUCAAAUUAAUUUUAUAAAGAGCUCUGAUGACAGUUGCACAACAAAGGCUGCAGAGAGGACCCAUUAGGAGGCAAUUUAUAUUCUAAGAAGAGAUGCUGAGGCAGCCCUGAGACAGUACCAGUGAGUGACAAGAAGGUUCAGAUUUAGGAAGUCCGUUUAGAACUUUGUGAUUAACUGGGGCAAGGGGUAUAGGGUGGAUGCAGGCUCUCAACAAACUCACUUCUAGGUUUUUAACUUAGAGCAAAUAGUGGAAGCAGACAGAAUUGGCAGAAAGGACAAGGGUGUGAUAGGGAGUUGAUACUCCUCCAGCUUCUCUGCACUUCACAGUAGGACUUGUGCCUUCCUUUAUCUGGAUCCAGUACUUCUACUAAUGACAACAGAAUAAUGACCUGCUGGUACUGUGAUUCCUAGUAAAGGUGCACUUACACUAUGGUACUUAACUAGAUCUCUAGCUCUUUUUCACAUUCAGUGCAAUGUAGAGUAAUAAGCUCUACCUUUUUCACACCGUUUCAGAAUGUGUAAGAUACGGACUUGUUUACUGUUUACUGGCUCAAUGGACUGUACGCUUUAUGAGAGUCUGCAUUAGCUCUUUUGUUCACCCUAGUGCCUAGAAAAGUGCCUGGUUGUAUAGGAUGGCAUCUAUUUUCCUGUGUGCAUACAUUUCUUUAAAAAUUCAAAUGUAACACUGCCUGAUAACUACUGUUAAAUUUUGUUGAUUUUAUUCCAGGUUUUACACAGCUAUUGCUGAAUUUUCAGCUACUGUAAUUCAUCCAAUAAACACUGAGUACCAACAUAGGCCAGGUGCUGGGAUACAAGAGCACAAAAUGAAUGUGGCUUACAAUCAUGGAACUUAACAGUAGACAUAACAGACAGUUGUAACAGUUUGUAUAGGUGUUGCUGAAGGAGAAGAUUCUAGAGAGACAUUCAGGAAGAGGAUCGUCUUUGCAAACCACACUUGCCAGGUGCAGGCUGCCGAGAAUCACCAGUUCUAGGUCAGUGAUGGCUGAACAACGUAGCCAGUCAUUCCAGGUAGAGGCCAUUUCAUCUACUUCCACUAGUUAGAAGGCACUUUGAGGAUAGAUACCCUUUUAUUAUUCUGGAUAUACUCUACAGUUUAGCUUGGCUUAAACAGAACACAUUCUCAGUAGGUUUUUUUGGGUCGUUUAAUUGAAAGAAUAGAAAAAGCAGGUACUUAAAAAUAAAAGUAUGACUUUAAUUCUGAGAAGCUUAACAGGUUUUAGCCAAACCUUAAAAAUUCAUUUUUCCAGCACUUGUACAAUGAGAAACUAGAUAGGCUUUCUAUAAUUCGACUGGUCUGAAAUUGUGUAUUGUUCUAGUUACAAUGCCUAGAUAUCAUAAGGUUAACAGAAACACAUCCUGUUACAUCUACAGCCAUAUAGAGAAUGGUGUUCUGAAUGCCAAGUUCUUUGUUGUUUCAGAAAUAACUAAAAUUAAUGAUCUGACUUUGAAUAUCCCUAA
This is a long non-coding RNA of Chinchilla lanigera (long-tailed chinchilla), 2254 nucleotides long. RefSeq lists it as uncharacterized. The record is from RefSeq and is a predicted model, not a curated record. The transcript is spliced from 2 exons. NCBI's taxonomy places the organism in Eukaryota, Metazoa, Chordata, Mammalia, Rodentia, Chinchillidae.